GGAGAACAUCCAAAGGGGUCUCCCUCGGUGCUGCUUCGGCCGGGAAGGUGGCCGAGAGAGGCGAAGAGCAAAGACAGGUGCAAAGGUCCUACCACCUCAAGUGGAAACAAACACCAGCAGUGGAGAAGGAAGAGGGACUCAUUCGGGGCUUUGGAGUCAUUUCCCUCCAGGCUUGAGAAUGGCAGGGAUGAUUCCUUUCAUGAUAAAUUCUCACCCCGGCUCUUGCAUCUAAUUCCCAGCAAGCUGGGGUUGGCUAAAGAACAGUGAAUAUUCUACACUCACAAGAGACCGAAAGAAGAGCUCCAGCCCAAGACAUGCCAGUGCUGUUUCUCCUUCUCUAAAAAGGUGAAAGGCCCCCCUCUCCUGGUGGAGAUUCCAAAUAGGAGCACAGGCGAGAAGACGCGACACGCAGGGCAGUUAGAGCGGCAUGGCGCCCAAUAGACCUCGCAAGUUUUCAUCAGAAAAGGCGGUGUCCGUCUGGCUCAAGAGAUGGCUCUAGGGGAGUAGGGAAGGGCUGGACUCUGGAAAAAUACAUGCUAUUCUUUCCUCCUAUGUGAAUAUAGGGUCAAAAUAAAAUCAUUGC
Molecule: long non-coding RNA, 583 nt
Organism: Balaenoptera acutorostrata (minke whale)
Lineage: Eukaryota; Metazoa; Chordata; Mammalia; Artiodactyla; Balaenopteridae
Exons: 3
Source: RefSeq, a predicted model, not a curated record